GACGAACGCUGUCGGCGCGCCUAACACAUGCAAGUCGAACGGAGUCAAGAGGAGCUUGCUUUUCUUGACUUAGUGGCGAACGGGUGAGUAACGCGUGAGUAACCUGCCCUGGAGUGGGGGACAACAGUUGGAAACGACUGCUAAUACCGCAUAAGCCCACGGAUCUGCAUGGAUCUGCGGGAAAAGGAUUUAUUCGCUCUAGGAUGGACUCGCGUCCAAUUAGCUAGUUGGUGAGGUAACGGCCCACCAAGGCGACGAUUGGUAGCCGGACUGAGAGGUUGAACGGCCACAUUGGGACUGAGACACGGCCCAGACUCCUACGGGAGGCAGCAGUGGGGGAUAUUGCACAAUGGGGGAAACCCUGAUGCAGCGACGCCGCGUGGAGGAAGAAGGUUUUCGGAUUGUAAACUCCUGUCGUUAGGGACGAUAAUGACGGUACCUAACAAGAAAGCACCAGCUAACUACGUG
This 468-nucleotide ribosomal RNA is filed under the name uncultured bacterium. Its description in RNAcentral is "partial 16S ribosomal RNA". It matches the Rfam family "Bacterial small subunit ribosomal RNA", at positions 28 to 507 of the family's 1533-position model. The record is from RNAcentral.